UUGCGAGUUCAGUGGGUGACAGCACAGGGGCCUUCACUUCCUCUUCUAGCCCAGGAAAAUUGUGAUCAGGCUGCAGGCCACCUGCCCGUUUCUCUGCAGCAGGAAGUGGAUUGAGCGUCUAUGAGGGCCAGACUCCCGCAUUUAUCAUCCAGUUAGGCCUAAUCAAAAUGUUUUCCGUUUCACCUGAAAUGCUCUCCUGGACCCUGGGUUCUGUGAGACACAGUUUAAUAGUCUGAGGAUGAAAGAACACCUAGAUGCAGUUCCCUCCCUCAAGUUUUCCAAAUUGACACUACUGCACUUUUUCAUGUGGCCCAGAGGAUCCUCCUUUCUGCCCUGGAUGAAGAGGACAACGUUUCUUAGUUCCACUGACGUGAGAUUGACUAUUAUAAGGAAGAUGCGCCUUAUUUUGGAUAUUGCAAGGAAAGACUUGAAAAAAAAAACUUGACUGAC
This 450-nucleotide long non-coding RNA is filed under the name Equus caballus (horse). Its description in RNAcentral is "lncRNA (ENSECAG00000036617.3)". The record is from RNAcentral. Lineage: Eukaryota; Metazoa; Chordata; Mammalia; Perissodactyla; Equidae.